RNAcentral lists this unclassified non-coding RNA (446 nucleotides) under Monomorium pharaonis (pharaoh ant). Its description in RNAcentral is "cytochrome b5-like, transcript variant X1". Lineage: Eukaryota; Metazoa; Arthropoda; Insecta; Hymenoptera; Formicidae. The record is from RNAcentral.
CCAGACCAUGCCUCUUGCCGUUCUGCCAUUGUCCCUCGUAAGCUGACCCGCUGUUGAGAGAAACGCAAUUUGCGGAAUUUAAUUCUUCUGAGACAGUUUCUUUCCCAGAUAUAGGAUUUAAAACUAUAGAGUUAAUCCGAGUGGAAAAAUCCGAAAGCAGAAUCAAUCGACAGAUCAAGAAUACAAGCACAUCUUGUUUUUUUGCUCGACUUCAUGGAAGAAAACGAGCUGAAAUAAGCUUCUCGCUGAUGACGUCGUAGUUCGAAAGAAAUACUGAAUGAAUUUGCGCUGACUUUAAUCAAUGCUGCACUUCAAUAUCGGGGUGAUUCAAAGAAUCCGAACACUUGUUAUAUAUUGCCAUUCUUUCAUCGAAACCAAGAUUGUAUAUAGAUCCUUGGAAAGACAUUGAUAUUUGUUAAUAUAUUGAUUGAUUUUUUUCAAAAAAA